CCUGUUCAUGUGAGAACUUAAGAAACCUCUCAGAAUUCUGUGAUAUCUUCACACAUAAAAAGUUGCAUACAUGUAAGAAACAUUUCUACAGACAUCACUUCAUAUCUUAAAAACCACUUUAGCCGAAAAGACGUUGUAAAAGUAAAAUUAUGCAUUUUAUUCAUUCAUUCCAUCAGCUGAGAAUUGCUCUAUUGUACAAAUACAAUAUUGUACAAAAAAAUCACAAAAUGUUACAAAAUAAAAAAGUACAAACUGCAUUACUUAAUAAAUAUGACUAAAAGUAGCUAAAGUGGAAAUGAGAUAGAUUUGAGGUUGGGAACAUUGUUUGACCCAGCAAACCAUACAAGCUGUUUACAGACAUUUUUAUUUGUACAUAAUACAGGGCAAUCCUAUUUUGCCUUCUGCCAAGAAUUUAAAAGGAACAGAAUAUUAAGACAGUAUUCUCCUGCUAUAAAAUAACUGCCAAGGUUGGUUUGAGGCAUUUAUGCUAUUAAUUUUUAAAUCUCUUAGUUGAAUCCAAGAUGCUAUAUAAAGCAGGAGGCUCAUCUUGUCACAAAGUCUUAGACCAUAUUAAAAUUCUUUUAUAUAACAAAAUGACAAAUAUAAAUAAAAACAAUUGAGAGCACCAGACGAUCUACUCUAAACAUCAACCAGAGUACAGAAUAAUCACUCUGCCAUCAGCAAACAUCAGACUUUCAUUCAAGUAAGACCUGGUACUAUCCCUUAACGAAAAAAAACUCCCCACAACCUUCCCUAAGUACUUCUCUUUAAAAGGUUGACCAUUUCUAGAAAAAUAAUCAUUUCCAGAACAACAAAUGUUUGUUUCAUCAAAAUGGAAUGGGCCAAUCAUCUGGUAACAUGAAUGCAUCAAUAUCCAUUUGAAAUAAUUACCGAAGAGCUGUAAAAUUCAAAUUCAACAACAUAAAAUAACUACUAAAUUCACAAACUCUGUUCAAAAUAAUAAACUUCAUAUAAAGCACUUCUCUGGAUUUAUGCCGGAAAGCUGUUUGUCAAAAUGGAACACAUCAUAGAUGAAGCUACACCCAUUUUUAAAAAUGUUGUGCAAAAAUACAUUUUUAUAGAAAAUAGAUUACCAGGAAUGAACAAAUUUACACUGUGAGAAAUUCGCUUGCAACUUAAGUAGUGCCAUCUUUAUACAGCAAAUUAUAAAUAGCAGGAAGAUCACCCAAAGCUAUCAUGAAACAUCAUUUAGGUGCCCAGCAACCUUCAGCUCUGAGGAGAAAACAUUCAAAAAAAUGAUUAAGGCAUUACACCUACAGUAAAUCUACUAGAAGUUUAAAAGUGCUAUUACCCUGAUUCGAGUUCAUAUAAUUCUCCAAACACAAAUGACGUAUGCGAUUCUCCCAGGGUGUAGGUGUCCAGACACUUCAAGAGCAUGCAUUUUGUUCGAUAUACAUCUUGGACAGGGAUAUGGCCAUGGACUUGGCAAGCUCUUCGUCGCGUUUUCUCUGCACCUGAGUCUGUUUGCACCAAUUGUCGUACUCGGGAUUGGGAUAGCAGUGAUCAAACACCGCGUCGUAAUGUCCGUUACUGAGCCAACUCAGCCAGAUACUGGGCCUCAGCGAAUCCUCGGGGCCCAAAUAGUGGAUCAUGGUGGACACCGUGGGGCUCUCCAACCUCCCUCCAGUAGUUAAGUGGAUAUUGACAUUCAGCAUCUGCCCCAUGGCCAGCAACUCCGGGUAGCCGGCCCAGGCGCCGUCCUGGGCGGCUGCGAUGAUGAACUCGCCCACGUCGCCCUCGAUCAGGGGGCUGAAGUGGUCCAGGUGGUCGGCGAUGUAGUGCACCGUCUGCUCCCGCAGCUCGCGGUGCAGGCUCUGGUCUCCGUACACCGUCUUGCUGACGGCUCGGUAGAGACAGUUGCCGUCGGGGAUGAUGUGGAAGCGGUACUUAUUCCGCUGCCGCAGAUGUGUGUUGCAAAAAUUAAAGCAAUGCCAGCAUGUAAAAAUAAAAGUGGAAUUCCUUUCCAUUGCAUCUCCCCUUUCUCAUGUUCCAGAGGACGAUAAGCCCUGAGCUCACACCUGCUGCCAAUCCUCCUCUUUUUGCUGAGGAAGACUGGUCCUGAG
RNAcentral lists this long non-coding RNA (2084 nucleotides) under Equus asinus (donkey). RNAcentral's name for it is "lncRNA (ENSEASG00005029355.1)". Lineage: Eukaryota; Metazoa; Chordata; Mammalia; Perissodactyla; Equidae. The record is from RNAcentral.